AGAGUUUGAUCAUGGCUCAGGAUGAACGCUAGCUACAGGCUUAACACAUGCAAGUCAAGGGGAAACGAUAUUGGAAGCUUGCUUCCGAUAGGCGUCGACCGGCGCACGGGUGAGUAACGCGUAUCCAACCUGCCCACCACUUGGGGAUAACCUUGCGAAAGUAAGACUAAUACCCAAUGACGUCUCUAGAAGACAUCUGAAAGAGAUUAAAGAUUUAUCGGUGAUGGAUGGGGAUGCGUCUGAUUAGCUUGUUGGCGGGGUAACGGCCCACAAGGCUACGAUCAGUAGGGGUUCUGAGAGGAAGGUCCCCCANAUUGGAACUGAGACACGGUCCAAACUCCUACGGGAGGCA
This 352-nucleotide ribosomal RNA is filed under the name uncultured bacterium. Its description in RNAcentral is "bacterial SSU rRNA". It matches the Rfam family "Bacterial small subunit ribosomal RNA", at positions 8 to 350 of the family's 1533-position model. The record is from RNAcentral.